AUGCAAUGAUGAGUGAAGUAUAGUCUGACCUGGUAUUGCCACUGCUUUAGAUGUGGCUUUGACCAGGGUGUGAUCCCAUAAUCUUCUCUCUGAGCGA
Molecule: small nucleolar RNA, 97 nt
Filed under: Procavia capensis (Cape rock hyrax)
Lineage: Eukaryota; Metazoa; Chordata; Mammalia; Hyracoidea; Procaviidae
Description: Z30 small nucleolar RNA (ENSPCAG00000019087.1)
Rfam family: Z30 small nucleolar RNA
About the family: Z30 belongs to the C/D class of snoRNA which contain the C (UGAUGA) and D (CUGA) box motifs.
Source: RNAcentral